This 395-nucleotide long non-coding RNA is filed under the name Helianthus annuus (common sunflower). Its description in RNAcentral is "hypothetical non coding rna". Lineage: Eukaryota; Viridiplantae; Streptophyta; Magnoliopsida; Asterales; Asteraceae. The record is from RNAcentral.
AUGCAAUUGUUAAGCUACAUUAAUAUAAAUAUUGUUGGGGGUUUUUCUGGGUGGAGGAGUUCUUGGACCUAAUCAUGGAGUUGCUCUCAGCGUGAGUAACAUAAGCUCUGGCACGCCAGCAUUUGAUAUGGACAUAUCAGAUUUCAUGGAGAAUGCCAAAUGUUACUUUGUCCGUAAUUUUUGUGUCCGAUUAUACAUGAAGCAAUAAUUAUAAUAUUUACUAAAAUAGUUUCUUUUACGGAUAGGCUGCAUACAUUUCUUGUGCUAUUCUUCUGAUUUUAAAGCUAAUAUUUGUUCAAGAAAGCUUGCUUUGCUCUGCCAAAAGGCAUGUGGGGUGAUGGAUCAGAUGGCUUCUGCAUGUGGCAAAGCUAACGAGUGCUUCUUGCAAUAGUUUG